Molecule: unclassified non-coding RNA, 215 nt
Filed under: uncultured Tremellales
Lineage: Eukaryota; Fungi; Basidiomycota; Tremellomycetes; Tremellales
Description: sequence contains 5.8S rRNA gene, ITS2, 28S rRNA gene
Rfam family: 5.8S ribosomal RNA (bases 1-52)
Source: RNAcentral
AACGCACAUUGCGCCUUUUGGUAUUCCGAAAGGCAUGCCUGUUUGAGUGUCAUAUCACCUCUCAGCCAUAGUUUUCCUAUGGUUGAGCUUUGGACGCUGCCAUCCGUGGCUCGUCUUAAAUGACUAAGUGGAAUGCGUAAUAAGUUUUCGCUCCCUCCACUCUAAUAACUCUUUAGUUAGACCUCAAAUCAGGUAGGACUACCCGCUGAACUUAA